RNAcentral lists this ribosomal RNA (931 nucleotides) under Dietzia sp. enrichment culture clone MWF-14-6-10-27F. Its description in RNAcentral is "bacterial SSU rRNA". It matches the Rfam family "Bacterial small subunit ribosomal RNA", at positions 54 to 1030 of the family's 1533-position model. Lineage: Bacteria; Bacillati; Actinomycetota; Actinomycetes; Mycobacteriales; Dietziaceae. The record is from RNAcentral.
CAUGCAAGUCGCGGUAAGGCCCUUCGGGGGUACACGAGUGGCGAACGGGUGAGUAACACGUGGGUAAUCUGCCCUGCACUUCGGGAUAAGCCUGGGAAACCGGGUCUAAUACCGGAUAUGAACUCCUGCCGCAUGGUGGGGGUUGGAAAGUUUUUCGGUGCAGGAUGAGCCCGCGGCCUAUCAGCUUGUUGGUGGGGUAAUGGCCUACCAAGGCGACGACGGGUAGCCGGCCUGAGAGGGUGAUCGGCCACACUGGGACUGAGACACGGCCCAGACUCCUACGGGAGGCAGCAGUGGGGAAUAUUGCACAAUGGGCGAAAGCCUGAUGCAGCGACGCCGCGUGGGGGAUGACGGUCUUCGGAUUGUAAACCCCUUUCAGUAGGGACGAAGCGCAAGUGACGGUACCUGCAGAAGAAGCACCGGCUAACUACGUGCCAGCAGCCGCGGUAAUACGUAGGGUGCGAGCGUUGUCCGGAAUUACUGGGCGUAAAGAGCUCGUAGGCGGUUUGUCACGUCGUCUGUGAAAUCCCUCGGCUUAACCGGGGGCGUGCAGGCGAUACGGGCAGACUUGAGUACUACAGGGGAGACUGGAAUUCCUGGUGUAGCGGUGAAAUGCGCAGAUAUCAGGAGGAACACCGGUGGCGAAGGCGGGUCUCUGGGUAGUAACUGACGCUGAGACGAAAGCAUGGGUAGCGAACAGGAUUAGAUACCCUGGUAGUCCAUGCCGUAAACGGUGGGCGCUAGGUGUGGGGCCUUCCACGGACUCCGUGCCGUAGCUAACGCAUUAAGCGCCCCGCCUGGGGAGUACGGCCGCAGGCUAAAACUCAAAGGAAUUGACGGGGCCCGCACAAGCGGCGGAGCAUGUGGUAUUCGAUGCAACGCAAUACCGCUUGACAUAUACAGACGACGAAUGUCUUCCUGUGGGGCAUGC